GGGCUGAGGUUGGACUAGAUGAUCUUGAGGUCUCUUCCAACCUAGACGAUUCUGUGAUUCUGUGAAAAGAAAAAAAAAAAAAAGCCAAAGGUGAACAGCUUUAGUUUGUUUGUUUAAUUGUCAUGAGAUCUCAGGCUCCAUCUAGAAAACAAGCAAGACUCAGAAAGCAAACUAAAAGCUUUACAUUUUUUGUGGUAUGUUUAAGUAGCCUGGCCCAUAUUAUACACCCUUUCAUAUCCAUAAAACCCAGUUAAAGUCAAGAAAAACCAAUUAUAAUGCUGCAUAUCUGCAUGUGACUUCAGGUACUCACUGUAAGAAGAACACAGCAACCAUUGUGGACCAGGUUAACACUUGAAAGACUGAUCAGGGGCUGAGGAUUAUUUUUUUCUUGGCUUUUUUUCCCAACCUUCUCAUCACUAGCAGAACAAGGAGGAUAUUCAAUUCACUGGCUGAAUGCAGACUUUAAGGCUCUCCUUAUUGAAGGCUGAACAAGUCUUUCAAAUACAUCCUGGCUGGCCAAACACCGACUCGUACAUCCUAGAAUUAUCCACUAAUAAUAAGUCAUGUGGCGCAGGACGGUUUGAAGUCAAAUUGUGGACAGUACCACAGUACUGUAUAUCAUGUUAAUCUUUCUCAGCUCUUUAGGUCGAAAUUUCAAAAUACAUGUAAAAGGCAUGGUAAUAUGCAAGGCUUCAUAUUGCAUUCCUAUUUUUUCUGUUUCCUGUAUAGUCUUUCACAUAGCACUUAAUCUUGUCCUGUCUCAGUUUUCCAGUCUGAAACCAAAUACAUAAUACAAUUUCACUUCCCAGGACCAUUAUAGGAACGUACUAACUGUUGGUUAAACACGUUAAGAACUUUUUCAAAAGCAUCUAGGGGACUCAAAUAGCCAAAAUCAGCAACAGACUCACAUGUAAGUACAACAUAUCAUUUUUAACCACUUUUUUUUUCCUAUGUGGAGAUGCUGGAGACCAAGUUGUAUCACUACAACUUGCUGCUGAUUUUCAAGUAUGUGUCAGGAACUAAGACCUGCAAAAUCCAUUAAAAUUCAGAACGCCUGUGCUCCUUGACCCCAUUUAUGCCAUUUAAAAGGUUUCUGCUUGUGACUAGUAGCCCUUGCUCCUGACACCUGGUGAUACGGUUAGCAUAACUAAUGCCACUUUGUGAAGUAAGAAGACAUUACCCCUAAGCAAACUCAUAGGUUACCAGCCCACUUUUCCCCCUCCCCACCAGCCCUGAAGGUCCCAGGCAACAGGCCAACUCUUCCCCUCCCUACCAGUGGUGUGAAAAUCCCAAACUCACAUCCAACCACGCUGUGGUGACCUCCUCAAAGAACAGGGAAGUGUAACAGCCCACGGAGUGUGCCUAUAAAACCAAGCAGCAGCAAGCCCUAGGUGAGACAUGGAUGGGACCCGCUGCUGGACGGCAGGCCUGCGAUCCCCUGGUGCUCAGGGACACCUCCACUGUCAGCUGCAUCCUCCACAGACCAAGCGACUCACGUUCCUUCACAUCGAUUCUGAGUCUAGAUUAUGAUUAUUAGAUUGCACGUUAAGUGUUGAAAUCUGACCCAAUCUGCAGAGGGUACAGAUGAUUCAAACAAAUGCUAAAUAACCAUAAGCUGUGCUAAUUAUAAAUUUCCAUGUAAUAACAAAGGUCUAAAUAUAAACACAACCUUGUGGCAUCCUCAUUCUACCAAGGAUCACUAGUGAACCUGUCUGUCCCCAUAACGUUGGGUAACAUUCCUAUUCCACGUAUUAGCCACAAGCUUUGAUGACAAUCAUAACAUGUAAGUUAGAAGUACACACUUCUAAAGCUAGGUUAACAGUAGGACAGAAAACUCUGACAAAAUUACACACAGAAGCAUCAUUUAAUUGAAACACUGAGUUUUGUAGUUAUUAGUCAAUCACUUGCAGUGUGCACUCUGGCAAGCAAUGGGUGGUAGCCAAUUUUCCCUUAUGAAUCCAUGUAUCUACUUCUGUUCCAUACAAGUUUUCACCCUUUUCUAUACGUAACUCCUAUUGACAAAGUCAAACUAUCUGACUUCUCCAAAUCUCCACUUUACAGAUAGGAACUUGUAAAACAGAGACAAAGAUUUUGUACUAUAAAUGCUGGCAUUCUUCUAAUACACUCAAAACUCCCUUAAGAAAAGAGAUAAAAUGAGGCGUCAUUAGCCAUUAAUUUAUUUUCAUAUGCCUACUCAAAAGGCAUCAAACAAUAAUGUUACUGAAAGGAUCCCCUUCGCCAUAAUGAACUCAGAUUCAUACAAUGUCACUUAACCCAUGUCUUUUUAAAAUCAGAUAUGGUACUAAUAUGCAAUAUAAUAACAUGCCUGACUACUUAUAAUGCCCGCAAAUCCUAUUCUCAUGUGUGUUUUCUACUGACACCAUGCAAUCAAUUAUAUAAUUUAUAUAUACAUAUGUAUCUUUUUCUGCUUUUUAAUAAAAUUGAUAUAUCAGAGAAUAUUUCA
Molecule: long non-coding RNA, 2464 nt
Filed under: Anser brachyrhynchus (Pink-footed goose)
Lineage: Eukaryota; Metazoa; Chordata; Aves; Anseriformes; Anatidae
Description: lncRNA (ENSABRG00000019694.1)
Source: RNAcentral